This 253-nucleotide ribosomal RNA is filed under the name uncultured bacterium. RNAcentral describes it as "partial 16S ribosomal RNA". It matches the Rfam family "Bacterial small subunit ribosomal RNA", at positions 524 to 776 of the family's 1533-position model. The record is from RNAcentral.
UACGAAGGGAGCUAGCGUUGUUCGGAAUCACUGGGCGUAAAGCGCACGUAGGCGGAUUUGCCAGUCAGGGGUGAAAUCCCGGGGCUCAACCUCGGAACUGCCUUUGAUACAGCAAGUCUUGAGUUCGAGAGAGGUGGGUGGAAUUCCUAGUGUAGAGGUGAAAUUCGUAGAUAUUGGGAAGAACACCGAUGGCGAAGGCAGCCAUCUGGACCGACACUGACGCUGAGGCGCGAAAGCGUGGGGAGCAAACAGG